Molecule: unclassified non-coding RNA, 348 nt
Filed under: soil metagenome
Description: partial contains 5.8S ribosomal RNA, internal transcribed spacer 2, and large subunit ribosomal RNA
Rfam family: 5.8S ribosomal RNA (bases 1-120)
Source: RNAcentral
GAUGAAGAACGCAGCGAAAUGCGAUAAGUAAUGUGAAUUGCAGAAUUCAGUGAAUCAUCGAAUCUUUGAACGCACAUUGCGCCCGCCAGUAUUCUGGCGGGCAUGCCUGUCUGAGCGUCAUUUCAACCUUCAUGCCCCUAGGGCGUGGUGUUGGGGAUCGGCCAAAGCCCGCGAGGGACGGCCGGCCCCUAAAUCUAGUGGCGGACCCGUCGUGGCCUCCUCUGCGAAGUAGUGAUAUUCCGCAUCGGAGAGCGAUGAGCCCCUGCCGUUAAACCCCCAACUUUCCAAGGUUGACCUCAGAUCAGGUAGGAAUACCCGCUGAACUUAAGCAUAUCAAUAAGCGGAGGA